UCUGGCAGUGAUGAUACUCUUGCCCUCACUGAGAACAUUGUUCUGUAAUGAGAAUCUUGUAAUGGACUCAGAUAAGCUGAGCUGGA
This is a small nucleolar RNA of Laticauda laticaudata (blue-ringed sea krait), 86 nucleotides long. The record is from Ensembl. Lineage: Eukaryota; Metazoa; Chordata; Lepidosauria; Squamata; Elapidae.